This 77-nucleotide transfer RNA is filed under the name Citrobacter freundii. RNAcentral describes it as "tRNA-Val". It matches the Rfam family "tRNA". From Rfam's summary of the family: Transfer RNA (tRNA) molecules are approximately 80 nucleotides in length. The record is from RNAcentral. Lineage: Bacteria; Pseudomonadati; Pseudomonadota; Gammaproteobacteria; Enterobacterales; Enterobacteriaceae. RNAcentral also lists the same sequence under 32 other names.
GCGUCCGUAGCUCAGUUGGUUAGAGCACCACCUUGACAUGGUGGGGGUCGUUGGUUCGAGUCCAAUUGAACGCACCA